UUCGCAAUGCCCGAAAGGGUGACGAAGCGACGCCGCGUGGGUGAGGAAGGCCUUCGGGUUGUAGAGCCCUGUCAGGAGUUAAGAAAUGUAAGUGUGCUAAUAUCGCAUUUACUUGACGAAGGCUCCAAAGGAAGUCACGGCUAACUCUGUGCCAGCAGCCGCGGUAAUACAGAGGUGGCAAGCGUUGUUCGGAAUUAUUGGGCGUAAAGAGCACGUAGGUGGGUUUGUAAGUCAGAUGUGAAAGCCUUCUGUUCAACGGAAGAAUUGCAUCUGAAAUUGCAAAUCUUGAGUAUAGGAGGGAGAAUGGAACUUCUGGUGGAGCGGUGAAAUGCGUAGAUAUCAGAAGGAACGCCGGCGGCGAAAGCGAUUCUCUGGCCUAUUACUGACACUCAGUGUGCGAAAGCUAGGGGAGCAAACGGGAUUAGAUACCCCGGUAGUCCUAGCCGUAAGCGAUGGGCACUAAGUAGAGGGGUUUU
This 476-nucleotide ribosomal RNA is filed under the name uncultured anaerobic ammonium-oxidizing bacterium. Its description in RNAcentral is "bacterial SSU rRNA". It matches the Rfam family "Bacterial small subunit ribosomal RNA", at positions 365 to 832 of the family's 1533-position model. The record is from RNAcentral.